This 470-nucleotide ribosomal RNA is filed under the name uncultured bacterium. RNAcentral describes it as "partial 16S ribosomal RNA". It matches the Rfam family "Bacterial small subunit ribosomal RNA", at positions 29 to 523 of the family's 1533-position model. The record is from RNAcentral.
AGCGAACGCUGGCGGCAGGCUUAACACAUGCAAGUCGAACGGGAGUAUUGAAGAAGCUUGCUUUAGAGAUACUUUAGUGGCGGACGGGUGAGUAACGCGUGAGGAGCUGUCCUAUGCAGGGGGACAACAGUUGGAAACGACUGCUAAUACCCCAUAAGCCGAGAGGUAAAAGGAUUUAUCCGGCAAUGGAGGUACUCGCGUCCUAUCAGCUAGUAGGUGAGGUAACGGCUCAACUAGGCGAAGACGGGUAGCCGGCCUGGGAGGGCGAACGGCCACACUGGAACGGAGAUACGGUCCUGACGCCGACGGGAGGCAGCAGUGGGGAAUAUUGGGCAAUGGGGGGAACCCUGACCCAGCGACGCCGCGUGGGUGAUGACGGCCUUCGGGUUGUAAAGCUCUUUUGUCCGGGAAGAUAAUGACUGUACCGGAAGAAUAAGCCCCGGCAAACUUCGUGCCAGCAGCCGCCGCAG